RNAcentral lists this ribosomal RNA (484 nucleotides) under uncultured bacterium. RNAcentral describes it as "partial 16S ribosomal RNA". It matches the Rfam family "Bacterial small subunit ribosomal RNA", at positions 28 to 507 of the family's 1533-position model. The record is from RNAcentral.
GUUGGACGCUGGCGGCAGGCCUAACACAUGCAAGUCGAGCGGAUGAUGGGCGCUUGCUCCUGGCUUCAGCGGGGGACGGGUGAGCAAUGCCUAGGAAUCUGCCUGGUAGUGGGGGAUAACGUCCGGAGACGGGCGCUAAUACCGCAUACGUCCUGAGGGAGAAAGAGGGGGAUCUUCGGAUCUCACGCUAUCAGAUGAGCAAAGGUCGGGUUAGCUAGGUGGUGGGGUAAAGGCCUCCCAAGGCGGCGAUCCGUAACUGGUCUGAGAGGAUGAUCAGUCACACUAGAACUGAGACACGGUCCAGACUCCGACGGGAGGCAGCAGUGGGGAAUAUUGCGCGAUGGACGAAAGCCUGAUCCAGCCAUGCCGAGUGUGUUAAGAAGGUCUUCGGAUUGUAAAGCACUGUAAGUAGUGAGGAAGGGCAGUAAGUUAAGACCGUGCUGUAUUGACGUUACCAACAGAAUAAGCACCGGCUAACUUCGUG